This 253-nucleotide ribosomal RNA is filed under the name uncultured bacterium. Its description in RNAcentral is "partial 16S ribosomal RNA". It matches the Rfam family "Bacterial small subunit ribosomal RNA", at positions 524 to 776 of the family's 1533-position model. The record is from RNAcentral.
GACAGAGGGGGCAAGCGUUGUCCGGAUUUACUGGGCGUACAGCGCGCGCAGACGGUUAGGGCCGUGCCCUGUGACAAGCCACCGCUCACCGGUGGAGGGCCAGGGUACACGACCUGACUGGAGGCAGGGAGAGGGAUGUGGAAUGCCCGGUGGAGCGGUGAAAUGCGUAGAGAUCGGGCGGAACACCAGCGGCGAAGGCGGCAUCCUGGUCCUGUCCUGACGUUGAGGCGCGAGAGCGUGGGGAGCGAACUGG